ACACUGACGACAUGGUUCUACGCAGGUGGUAAACUCCAUCUAAGGCUAAAUAUGACCACGAGACCGAUAGCAAACAAGUACCGUGAGGGAAAGUUGAAAAAGAACUUUGAAGAGAGWAGUUAAAAAGUGCGUAGAAACCGUUAAGAAGGAAAACGGGUGAAACCUCGAAGAUCGAAACACUGACGACAUGGUUCUACGCAGGUGGUAAACUCCAUCUAAGGCUAAAUAUGACCACGAGACCGAUAGCAAACAAGUACCGUGAGGGAAAGUUGAAAAAGAACUUUGAAGAGAGWAGUUAAAAAGUGCGUAGAAACCGUUAAGAAGGAAAACGGGUGAAACCUCGAAGAUCGAA
This 352-nucleotide ribosomal RNA is filed under the name Praunus flexuosus. RNAcentral's name for it is "partial 28S ribosomal RNA". It matches the Rfam family "Eukaryotic large subunit ribosomal RNA", at positions 1 to 442 of the family's 3401-position model. Lineage: Eukaryota; Metazoa; Arthropoda; Malacostraca; Mysida; Mysidae. The record is from RNAcentral.